AGAGUUUGAUCCUGGCUCAGAUUGAACGCUGGCGGCAGGCCUAACACAUGCAAGUCGAACGGUAGCACAGAGAGCUUGCUCUCGGGUGACGAGUGGCGGACGGGUGAGUAAUGUCUGGGAAACUGCCUGAUGGAGGGGGAUAACUACUGGAAACGGUAGCUAAUACCGCAUAACGUCGCAAGACCAAAGAGGGGGACCUUCGGGCCUCUUGCCAUCAGAUGUGCCCAGAUGGGAUUAGCUAGUAGGUGGGGUAACGGCUCACCUAGGCGACGAUCCCUAGCUGGUCUGAGAGGAUGACCAGCCACACUGGAACUGAGACACGGUCCAGACUCCUACGGGAGGCAGCAGUGGGGAAUAUUGCACAAUGGGCGCAAGCCUGAUGCAGCCAUGCCGCGUGUAUGAAGAAGGCCUUCGGGUUGUAAAGUACUUUCAGCGGGGAGGAAGGUGUUGUGGUUAAUAACCGCAGCAAUUGACGUUACCCGCAGAAGAAGCACCGGCUAACUCCGUGCCAGCAGCCGCGGUAAUACGGAGGGUGCAAGCGUUAAUCGGAAUUACUGGGCGUAAAGCGCACGCAGGCGGUCUGUCAAGUCGGAUGUGAAAUCCCCGGGCUCAACCUGGGAACUGCAUUCGAAACUGGCAGGCUAGAGUCUUGUAGAGGGGGGUAGAAUUCCAGGUGUAGCGGUGAAAUGCGUAGAGAUCUGGAGGAA
RNAcentral lists this ribosomal RNA (707 nucleotides) under uncultured soil bacterium. RNAcentral's name for it is "bacterial SSU rRNA". It matches the Rfam family "Bacterial small subunit ribosomal RNA", at positions 8 to 706 of the family's 1533-position model. The record is from RNAcentral.